UCCAUUCUCCUUAUUCCUUCCUCUACUGCCUCUUGAUUAUUUGCUUUUUGUUUGCUUUGUUUAUGCCACAGUGUCAGGGAUAAUAGCAAUAACCACAUGAAAAAUUCAAUUAGGGGAUAUCCUGUCUUUCUUCCGCUGGAAAGAGGCUAUGGAGAACAAGAUAUGGAAAUUAUGUGUGCCUUCCUUUACCUGCCUGGUAUUAUUCAAACUGACUGCGUGGCAUUUUUCAAAGAAGACUACACAGAAGGAAAAGAGAAGACAAGCAACAAUUAACACAAGGCAGAGCUUAGGAAGGGCCUGCAAGAAUAAUGAUUGGGGUCUUCAUGCCAGCCUGUCCUCAGCCAAGUUACCAGCCCUUUCUUUUUGCCCAGACCUGAGAAGGAGGAUUUACUGCAGAUCUGCAGCUCCCACUGACUUUAACACUACUGAACAGCCAAAUCAAAGGUGGGAAUUCCAAACACCAAGCACCCAGAAUACCAAGCCAUUCCCAAAAAUGAAUAUAUGCUUCUACAUGAAAGACUAUUUGAGUGCUGCUAAUAAAGGCAGAGGCUACAGAGCUCCAAGAGUGCAGCUGAGGGAGGCAGCUGCCAGCUGCAGCAGCCCUGGGCUCCUCUUCGAGAGCUGCUGGAUCUUCUGGGACUUCGUCCAACACCAUGGGGGAACUUCUGAGAGCUACCGAGGAGCUCGAGGGUGCCUGCAGCUGACAGAAAAUUGGCACUGAGGAACACCGUGCCCAGAACAUGUCAAAGUUGUUCGAGGAGGAAGAGCAGCCAUUUCACACCUCGCCGAGCUCCCACGGUCGCCGCCUGCGACGGGCACGCGGCUGCAUCGCUGCCGACGCCACCCACCGCGUGGCUCCCUGAUGUGGGGCAAGUGCUCUGUUUCAUACUAUUGCCAGGAAAUAUUCCAGCACUGAGGAACUAUGUGACUGUAGAAAUGUCUCCUAGCUGUUUCUCCCAGAUCAGCUCUGGCAGAGCUUGUAAGAAGAGAGAAAAUAUGUAAAGUUCUUCUCUCACAGUCACUAUACUUAUCUCAUACUUGUAUGCAGAAAAGUAAAAUCUGUCCCUGCCUAAGCACGAGCUACAUUUCUGUGUAACUGCAGAGCUAUAUUAUUCCCCUGCAGGUGACCUUUGGCACCUGAGACCCUUUCAAGUUAUGAUAGGAAAAGGAAGACAGAAAAAAAAGAGAAACAGCAAUGCAGUGAUCCGCUUUGUUAUACUGGUACACCCCACUGUGUGGGCUUUUGUUUUGCUUUAGUUUAAACAUGUGCCUGGAUGAUUUAUCUAAAAGGAAGCAGGUUUGGUUUAAAUCCAAAUAAGGGUGUGUUUACCUCAUCAAAAGAGACUGGGUAAUGGCAGCUUAUUUACUGCUUGUCAAUAGGGUUUGCAAAGAUGAUUUAAAAGGAAACAUUUUCCCUCACACGUGCAACAGCACGAAGUACAAACACGGUCCUUGUCCGCAGCCCGGUUGCGGAGCAGUGACGCGGCCCCUUGGGCUGCCCCGGCCCUGGCUGCAGAGCUGCAGGGCUGCCAAAGCCUUGCCGGGUCGAGGUGCCCGUGGCUGCAGCUGCUGCGCUGUGGACAGCGGCUCCGCGAGGGUCCACGGGACCAUGGGACGCCCGGUCCCUGCACCUCCAGCUGCUGCUGGCCGUGGGGCCUCCCACCACCUCGCCACCAACUCAGGCCAAAAGCCAAACAGCUGCGGUCUCCUAAACUCUUUGGCUCUGUUUUAACUCAUCACAUCUUGGGGCAUUUGGUGAACCUUUCUCAGCUGAACGAGACCAAGGAAGAAAAAUGCGGAAAAGCCAGGGAGCAAUGCCAUACCGGGAGUGACAGGGAGCAGCCGGGCUCGCAAUACAAGGGCAAGAGCAGAAAGCAAAGAAACGUUUUGGGGAAAAAAUCCUCCCUCCUUCUCCCACUUGUUCCGUCCUGGCAGAGCAAGAAAGUAUCUUGAGCAUCUGCUGCUCACUGCGCCCCGCAGAUGGUAUGCCAGACAUACCGGUACUCGGGCCCUCCGGUCAUUCCUCCCUUGCGAGUCCUGGCAGGAGGCCAGGCACUUAUCAGCCUGGAUAUCCAGCUGCCCGGGUCAAUGAGCAAUCCCCAAAUUUGCUGCAUGCUCCCCAAAUCCAGCCGAGGCAUGCCAUCAAAUCUUGAAAGUUAAGUCACAUUUCUCUCCUGAUGCUUAGGCAUCUUAAGAAUUCAGUUUCGUGACAAAUGUCUAUAAUUCCUCUGCUCAUUUCUUGCAUGCAGACGUUACCUCUGGCAGCUUUCUGCCACUAACUCACCAACCCCACCCUGCUGAGCAGCUAACAAUGAAUAUCCAGAGUUUUCAGUAACUGGAAUAAAUAUUUUCAAGCCACCUGAGCCUCUCAGGAUCCUAUUCUGAAGUGUGUUUUGUUUAAGAAAGCCAUUAUCCUACCUUAACCAAACACCUAGCCAGACCCAAAGUGUUCACACCCCUGUUUAAAAUAGUUUUAUUUUUUUCUUAACUAGAAAACUGAGAAGACAUGUGGGACUGUGGAAAUCUGUUACAUGCACAAAGCUUGUGAACUAAGAGAGGGCUGAGAGGCCUCCCGUGUGGGAGCUAAUUACCUUCCUGAGCUGCGGGAGCACCGCUCCCCCCUUCCCUCCCUCCCACGUUGCCUCCCUCGAACACUGGCUUUUCCCUCAGGUCACCGGAGCAGAAGCUGCGAGAGCAAUAAGGAGAGCUGGCGAGCAAUCAGACCAUGUCAUCUGCUUCUCCGUAUGAAUAACCAUAAUCCUGAAUUUGCAGUGGCCCAUAUGCACAUGCCUAGGCACAGAAUACUAAUUCCCUUGAUCAGGGAAGGCACGAGUGACGUGGCCGUGACAGUGCGUGCGCGCACAGGGCGCUGCUCGCCCCAGAGUUUGCUGCGGCUCUUUUGGGGCCAGUUUGAAGUGGCCGGGUUUUUGUGCUGCGAUUCGUUAUAGCUGAG
Molecule: long non-coding RNA, 2953 nt
Organism: Dromaius novaehollandiae (emu)
Lineage: Eukaryota; Metazoa; Chordata; Aves; Casuariiformes; Dromaiidae
Exons: 4
Source: RefSeq, a predicted model, not a curated record